UACGAAGGGUGCUAGCGUUGUUCGGAAUUACUGGGCGUAAAGGGCGCGUAGGCGGUUUGGCAAGUUGGAUGUGAAAGCCCAGGGCUCAACCCUGGAAUUGCAUUCAAGACUGCUUUACUUGAAUUCGGUAGAGGUUGGUGGAAUUCCCAGUGUAGAGGUGAAAUUCGUAGAGAUUGGGAAGAACACCCGUGGCGAAGGCGGCCAACUGGACCGACAUUGACGCUGAGGCGCGAAAGCGUGGGGAGCGAACAGG
RNAcentral lists this ribosomal RNA (253 nucleotides) under uncultured bacterium. RNAcentral describes it as "partial 16S ribosomal RNA". It matches the Rfam family "Bacterial small subunit ribosomal RNA", at positions 524 to 776 of the family's 1533-position model. The record is from RNAcentral.